CAACCCAAAUUUUCUAGUCAAAAUUCAAAUGUCGACUAGUCAAAGUCAAAGUCAAUUAAGGACUAAAAUGAAAUUAAAUAUUUUAUUGGGGUUUAUUUUAUAAUUAGUCAUAUGUGAGGGUUAAAUUGGCUACAAUUUAAAGUUGAGAAUUUACUUAUAUAUAUUUGGAAGUUUAGAACUUAAAAGCUAUAUUCUAUUAAAGAAUAGGGACCUUCCUUAGCAAUUUUGAACAAAUGGCAUUUAUAUUCAAACUUUGACCAUACUUUUCCACAAAAAUCACACACUAACACACACUAAAGUGUGUUGAACGGGAGGAAACGCAGAGAAGAGAAGAAAGGGAAGAAAAGAAAAAGAAAGGAAGAAAAAGAAAAAAAAAAUCUUGUGCCAACUACUUCAAUCUUGUUUAUUUAAUUCUUCAAGAGGAGGCUGUUGACUGAGCGGUGGUGGAGAUUAUUUUGAUAGUUUUGCAGACAUUGCUACCACCAAUUGUAGGUUCUUUUGUUUGAAAUUGUGUAAUCAUCAAGUAAAAUAUUUACAUCAUGUUGGAGGAAAAUUAUUUUGGUAUUUAUAUACACCAAUGAUCAUGAUGUAAUAUGGUAAUCUAAACUGCUUCCUAUUAUCCUUUUGAGAGGCAGUUUUGAUGUAUAUGUUAUGGAUGUUUUUGGUUAAACGAGCAAAUGAUAGUAUUAUGUUGGUGUUUUAUUUUAA
Long non-coding RNA from Olea europaea var. sylvestris, 708 nucleotides. RefSeq lists it as uncharacterized. The record is from RefSeq and is a predicted model, not a curated record. The transcript is spliced from 2 exons. NCBI's taxonomy places the organism in Eukaryota, Viridiplantae, Streptophyta, Magnoliopsida, Lamiales, Oleaceae.